CCUACGGGGUGCAGCAGUGAGGAAUAUUGGUCAAUGGACGCGAGUCUGAACCAGCCAAGUAGCGUGAAGGAUGACUGCCCUAUGGGUUGUAAACUUCUUUUAUAUGGGAGUAAAAUGUUCCACGUGUGGGAUUUUGUAUGUACCAUAUGAAUAAGGAUCGGCUAACUCCGUGCCAGCAGCCGCGGUAAUACGGAGGAUCCGAGCGUUAUCCGGAUUUAUUGGGUUUAAAGGGAGCGUAGGUGGAUUGUUAAGUCAGUUGUGAAAGUUUGAGGCUCAACCGUAAAAUUGCAGUUGAAACUGGCAGGCUUGAGUACAGUAGAGGUGGGCGGAAUGUGUGGUGUAGCGGUGAAAUGCUUAGAUAUCACGAAGAACUCCGAUUGCGAAGGCAGCUCACUGGACUGCAACUGACACUGAGGCUCGAAAGUGUGGGUAUCAAACAGGAUUAGAUACCCGAGUAGUC
RNAcentral lists this ribosomal RNA (460 nucleotides) under uncultured bacterium. RNAcentral's name for it is "partial 16S ribosomal RNA". It matches the Rfam family "Bacterial small subunit ribosomal RNA", at positions 338 to 795 of the family's 1533-position model. The record is from RNAcentral.